Molecule: ribosomal RNA, 365 nt
Filed under: Agrococcus jenensis
Lineage: Bacteria; Bacillati; Actinomycetota; Actinomycetes; Micrococcales; Microbacteriaceae
Description: bacterial SSU rRNA
Rfam family: Bacterial small subunit ribosomal RNA
Source: RNAcentral
UGGGCGUAAAGAGCUCGUAGGCGGUUUGUCACGUCUGCUGUGAAAACCCGAGGCUCAACCUCGGGCUUGCAGUGGGUACGGGCAGACUAGAGUGCGGUAGGGGAGAUUGGAAUUCCUGGUGUAGCGGUGGAAUGCGCAGAUAUCAGGAGGAACACCGAUGGCGAAGGCAGAUCUCUGGGCCGUAACUGACGCUGAGGAGCGAAAGCAUGGGGAGCAAACAGGCUUAGAUACCCUGGUAGUCCAUGCCGUAAACGUUGGGAACUAGAUGUGGGGACCAUUCCACGGUCUCCGUGUCGUAGCUAACGCAUUAAGUUCCCCGCCUGGGGAGUACGGCCGCAAGGCUAAAACUUAAAUGAAUUGACGGA